UGCUAGCUGCGUGGCAGGAGCUGGGGUAAUAGUGAGGGGUGAAGUGUUGUCUGGAUUUAGUGGGCGUGAAGGGCGGUGAGGCGUGUUUGCAAGUCCGUUGUGAAAACUCGAGGCUCAACCUCGGGACGUGUGGGGAAACUUCAAAGCGAGAGUCCGGAAGAGGAGAGUGGAAUUCCUGGUGUAGCGGUGAAAUGCGCAGAUAUCAGGAAGAACACCCGUGGCGAAGGCGGCUCUCUGGGACGGUACUGACGCUGAGACGCGAAAGCGUGGGGAGCGAACAGGAUUAGAUACCCGAGUAGUC
RNAcentral lists this ribosomal RNA (301 nucleotides) under uncultured Bacillus sp. Its description in RNAcentral is "bacterial SSU rRNA". It matches the Rfam family "Bacterial small subunit ribosomal RNA", at positions 495 to 795 of the family's 1533-position model. Lineage: Bacteria; Bacillati; Bacillota; Bacilli; Caryophanales; Bacillaceae. The record is from RNAcentral.